GGAUUUCACAUCUUAUUGGUUCUAUCAUUUGUCACAAAAGUAAGUAAUUAUUGGAUAUUGGCGAUCAAGUGAUCAAAAGACAUUUAAUGCGUCUGGAGGAAUUAAAGUUUAAUAAUGCACUACUUGAACACUGCUUGAGGAAAAUGUUUAUCCAGCUGGGGUAUUUGAACAAAGAGAUGACAGGAAUUGAAAAGGACAGGCAAGAAAGGAUUAAACAAAACUUAAGAGAAAUAGAGGCUGCUGGAUUAGAUAUUACAGCGAUGAAGGCAAUGACAAUGUCAUUGUAUGGUCCAAAACAGAAAGCUAAUGGUAAAACCACUAAAGAGGGGAAGAACAAGGUGGGCCAUGGCACUACUGAUGAAGAAUUUCUACCACCCGAAGGUGAAGAAAACCUCAGUGUCUACAGUGACGAUGAUGAGUCUUCUAGGUCGCAAGCUAAAAAGGCAAAAGUUAUGGGUCCAGGAAAAAAGAGAGGCACUUCUACUACUCAAGUUUUGAGAAAAUCACAAAGAACUCAAGUUUUGAGAAAAUCACAAAGAAAUCAAGAAGAGGGUGGCAGCUCCAAUGGAGCGACCUCAACUCUACCAAGACAACCUUUAGCCGAUAAUGGUCAAGUAAUGUCUAUGGUAGCUGCCAAUGAUCAGCAUGCUAGUGUACCCACUACUUCUAAUUGUUUAGGUAUGUCAAAAAGAAAAAGGGGCCUAUCACAAGGCAUUACAGUUCAAAAGAUUGUAUAAAAUGGUGAGAAAAUAUGUCAUGUACGUAUCCCUGAUGUUAAGUGGGGACCAAUGGGUAAAAAUGCUUCUUUGUUCAAGACUAACGUAGGCGUUGUAUGUCACCUAUUUGCUCCGUUGAGUGUGCCAUACUGGAAUGAAAUGAUGGACGUCCGAAAGGCUCCAAUGUUCGCACGCCUUGCUUGAAGAAAAAGAGGCUUUGUAAAGCUUAUAUCUAGUGAAGAAAAUCAGCAUUUUUAGUGCCCAGAUAAGUCUAGUUACUGCUGUAAUUUCGAACUAAUCUUUGUUGCUGAAAACUGCAUGUUCGUAGCUUGAUAAAGUGCUGAAAAUCAGAUUUGGUUCUGCUGCUUUUCUGCUGUGUUUUGCCCAGUUUAAAGACUGUUUUUGGGGAUAUUUGAGUGUGAAUUUGGGCCUCUUAAAUCCCCCAACACUUCUUAUGGUGCAAGUGCUUGAUGUUAGACUUGAAUUCCUAUGUAAACUCAAGAAAUUAGACCACUUAUUGUUCUAGGAAUGACAUCGUACAAUAUACCUGUCCUAUGAAAAGAUACAAAUUUUGCAGUGACAUGGAAAGCCAUCAGGAGUGUCCUUCUGUCACAAACUGUUCUAUCUUUCAUGUUAGCAGCUUGUCUUUAUUUUAUCUAAGUUGAUUGAAUACUGAAAUUGAAUUUUAGUUGUAGAAAAUAUGGGUAUAAGUGCUGAAAGUGUGAAUGUUAGUUAACAUUUUAUGGGUUGAGCAGAGCUGCACUUUUUAUGGCUUUAGCUCAUCCUUGUUGA
Molecule: RNA transcript, 1508 nt
Organism: Rhododendron vialii
Lineage: Eukaryota; Viridiplantae; Streptophyta; Magnoliopsida; Ericales; Ericaceae
Exons: 5
Source: RefSeq, a predicted model, not a curated record